Molecule: ribosomal RNA, 278 nt
Filed under: Clostridioides difficile
Lineage: Bacteria; Bacillati; Bacillota; Clostridia; Peptostreptococcales; Peptostreptococcaceae
Description: partial 16S ribosomal RNA
Rfam family: Bacterial small subunit ribosomal RNA
Source: RNAcentral
AAGGCUACGGCUCAACCGUAGUAAGCUCUUGAAACUGGGAGACUUGAGUGCAGGAGAGGAGAGUGGAAUUCCUAGUGUAGCGGUGAAAUGCGUAAAUAUUAGGAGGAACACCAGUUGCGAAGGCGGCUCUCUGGACUGUAACUGACGCUGAGGCACGAAAGCGUGGGGAGCAAACAGGAUUAGAUACCCUGGUAGUCCACGCUGUAAACGAUGAGUACUAGGUGUCGGGGGUUACCCCCUUCGGUGCCGCAGCUAACGCAUUAAGUACUCCGCCUGGG